Molecule: long non-coding RNA, 670 nt
Organism: Seriola dumerili (greater amberjack)
Lineage: Eukaryota; Metazoa; Chordata; Actinopteri; Carangiformes; Carangidae
Exons: 3
Source: RefSeq, a predicted model, not a curated record
GUCCCUAAUACCGCUGCCGUGCCCGCCCGGAGGCAGACAGGCACCGGUCCUUGGAGACUCUGCGGGGAUGCGCAAAGAUGUGAGAGUAAAGAACGAGAGGCGUUGUGAUUGGCCGCACUCUUCCUGAAAGCAUCAGGCACGGCGAGUCAUGUUUGCUCCAGCCAGAGCAUCACCGAGGUGGCAUCAAACUUGAAGGAGAAGACUCUGUGUUCUCAGUCUGCACAGCCGAUGCGUUCACAGCGCCGACCGUAAACUUGCAUCAUUUCUCCAAAGAGGCGGUGGUGCUAAAACAGAGAGAGUGAGGGAGAGAGGGAGAGAGUGAGAGAGCGAAAGAGAGAGAGACUUGGCUGAUCAACUAGUGAAGAAGCGGAAGACGCUCUGCACUUCUCCACCUGCUCCUGAGCUUCAUGGUAUUUGGGGAGCCCCGUUAAGAACUUAUUGCAUUAGCAUCUGACUGUGCCACAUCAUGCUGUGGAUGAAGUGGAAGAUGGUGGUGGACUCCCUGCGUGGACGGAGAAGGAGGCUGCCCUGUUCCCUCUGGUUCCUCCUGCUGUUCGCUGCUGGAGGUCUGGUUCUCUUCAUCCACCAGCAGGAUCUGUCAGAGAUGGUCCAGCAACAAGGCCCAGGGAGAAGAAAGGAGCCUGAGAUAGCAGAGCGAGGGAGGGCUCGG